This 443-nucleotide ribosomal RNA is filed under the name uncultured bacterium. RNAcentral describes it as "partial 16S ribosomal RNA". It matches the Rfam family "Bacterial small subunit ribosomal RNA", at positions 338 to 795 of the family's 1533-position model. The record is from RNAcentral.
CCUACGGGAUGCAGCAGUGGGGGAUAUUGGACAAUGGGGGAAACCCUGAUCCAGCGACGCCGCGUGAGUGAAGAAGUAUUUCGGUAUGUAAAGCUCUAUCAGCAGGGAAGAAAGAAAUGACGGUACCUGAGUAAGAAGCCCCGGCUAACUACGUGCCAGCAGCCGCGGUAAUACGUAGGGGGCAAGCGUUAUCCGGAAUUACUGGGUGUAAAGGGAGCGUAGACGGUAAUGCAAGUCUGGAGUGAAAGUCGGGGGCCCACCCCCGGGACUGCAUGGGACACUGUUGAACUGGAGUACAGGAGAGGGAAGCGGAAUUCGUAGUGUAGCGGUGAAAUGCGUAGAUAUUAGGAGGAACACCAGUGGCGAAGGCGGCUUACUGGACUGUAACUGACGUUGAGGCUCGAAAGCGUGGGGAGCAAACAGGAUUAGAUACCCUAGUAGUC